AUGAUGGUUGAGGAUGGAGGUAGCUGCCAACCUAGUGUGGUGUUCUAUAACAUCAUAGUUUAUGUCCUGUUGAAAGAGGGUGCGAUGGGCAAGGCUUACAACCUAUUUUGUGAAAUGCUACAGACGGGGAUUUCGCCGGAUGUUGUGACCUAUAACUCAAUCAUCUAUGGCAUGUGCAAGGUUCAUGCGAUGGACAUGGCUGAGGAGGUUCUUCAACAGAUGUUUGAUAGAGGUAUUCUUCCAAAUUAUAGAACAUAUAAUAGUCUAAUACAUGGAUAUUAUUCUUUAGGACAGUGCGGAGAGGUGGAUCAGGUUUUGAGGGAAAUGUUUGGAAAUGGUGUUCAACCAAAUGUCGUAACUUACAGUGUACAAACGGAUUAUCUUUGCAAGAGUGGAAGAUGCACAGAAGCUAGGAAGAUUUUUGAUUCUAUGACCGGUUUGGGCCAAAAACCAACUGUUACUAACUACAACAUUUUGCUUCAUGGGUAUGCUAUGGAACGAUCAUUUCAUGAUAUGCAUUGUCUCAUUGAUUUGAUGGUAGAAAAUGGUAUUGUACCACAUCACCAUAUCUACCACAUACUGAUAUUUGCAUGUUCUAAAGAAAAAAUGGUUGAUGAAGCAAUGCAUAUAUUUAAAAAAAUGCGGCAGCAAGGAUUGAACCCUAAUGCAGCGAGCUAUGGAACGGUAAUAAACUUGCUUUGCAACAUUGGCCGAAUGGAUGAUAUGAUGUUACAAUUCAAUCAAAUGAUAACGGAAGGAUUAGCUCCUGAUAUCAUAGUUUUCAACACCCUUUUGAUUGGUUUUUGUUCUUGUGGCAAAUGGGAGAAGGUUUAUGAACUAUUUUCUAAAAUGUUGAAUCCUGGCAUCUAUCCAGUAAUGUGUUCUUCAAGA
This 891-nucleotide ribosomal RNA is filed under the name Triticum aestivum (bread wheat). RNAcentral's name for it is "partial small subunit ribosomal RNA". Lineage: Eukaryota; Viridiplantae; Streptophyta; Magnoliopsida; Poales; Poaceae. The record is from RNAcentral.